RNAcentral lists this ribosomal RNA (754 nucleotides) under uncultured bacterium. RNAcentral describes it as "bacterial SSU rRNA". It matches the Rfam family "Bacterial small subunit ribosomal RNA", at positions 8 to 757 of the family's 1533-position model. The record is from RNAcentral.
AGAGUUUGAUUAUGGCUCAGGANNNACGCUAGCGGCAGGCUUAAUACAUGCAAGUCGUGGGGCAGCACAGGUAGCAAUACUGGGUGGCGACCGGCAAACGGGUGCGGAACACGUACGCAACCUUCCUUUAAGCGGGGGAUAGCCCAGGGAAACUUGGAUUAAUACCCCAUAAGACAAUGGUGUGGCAUCACACAGUUGUUAAAGCUCCGGCACUUAAAGAUGGGCGUGCGGCUGAUUAGGUAGUUGGCGGGGUAACGGCCCACCAAGCCGACGAUCAGUAACUGGUGUGAGAGCACGACCAGUCACACGGGCACUGAGACACGGGCCCGACUCCUACGGGAGGCAGCAGUAAGGAAUAUUGGUCAAUGGACGCAAGUCUGAACCAGCCAUGCCGCGUGGAGGAUGAAGGCCCUCUGGGUUGUAAACUUCUUUUAUUGGGGAAGAAACCUGUUUUUUCUAAAGCAGUUGACGGUACCCGAUGAAUAAGCACCGGCUAACUCCGUGCCAGCAGCCGCGGUAAUACGGAGGGUGCAAGCGUUAUCCGGAUUCACUGGGUUUAAAGGGUGCGUAGGUGGGCAGGUAAGUCAGUGGUGAAAUCUCUGGGCUUAACCCAGAAACUGCCGUUGAUACUAUCUGUCUUGAAUGUAGUGGAGGUGAGCGGAAUAUGUCAUGUAGCGGUGAAAUGCUUAGAUAUGACAUAGAACAUCUAUUGCGAAGGCAGCUCGCUACACUAUUAUUGACACUGANNCACGAA